GUGUACCACGCGUCCACUCCGGUUCCUCCGCGCCGUGCACACCAACCUGACGACCGCUCGCUACGGUUUGUUAGCC
Molecule: small RNA, 76 nt
Filed under: Xanthomonas sp. 3075
Lineage: Bacteria; Pseudomonadati; Pseudomonadota; Gammaproteobacteria; Lysobacterales; Lysobacteraceae
Description: sRNA sX9
Rfam family: Xanthomonas sRNA sX9
Source: RNAcentral